Molecule: ribosomal RNA, 252 nt
Filed under: uncultured bacterium
Lineage: Bacteria
Description: partial 16S ribosomal RNA
Rfam family: Bacterial small subunit ribosomal RNA
Source: RNAcentral
UACGUAGGUGGCAAGCGUUGUCCGGAAUUACUGGGUGUAAAGGGAGCGUAGGCGGGGAUGCAAGUUGAAUGUAUAAACGGCCGGCUCAACCGGCCGAAGCGUUCAAAACUGCAUUUCUUGAGUGGAGUAGAGGCAGGCGGAAUUCCUAGUGUAGCGGUGAAAUGCGUAGAUAUUAGGAGGAACACCAGUGGCGAAGGCGGCCUGCUGGGCUCUAACUGACGCUGAGGCUCGAAAGCGUGGGUAGCAAACAGG